UCCAGACUCCUACGGGAGGCAGCAGUGAGGAAUAUUGGUCAAUGGGCGCGAGCCUGAACCAGCCAAGUCGCGUGAGGGAUGACGGCCCUACGGGUUGUAAACCUCUUUUGUCGGGGAGCAAAUUCCGCCACGUGUGGCGGAGUCGAGAGUACCCGAAGAAAAAGCAUCGGCUAACUCCGUGCCAGCAGCCGCGGUAAUACGGAGGAUGCGAGCGUUAUCCGGAUUUAUUGGGUUUAAAGGGUGCGCAGGCGGAGGUGCAAGUCAGCGGUCAAAUUGCGGGGCUCAACCCCGUACUGCCGUUGAAACUGCAUCCCUUGAGUGCGCGAGAAGUAUGCGGAAUGCGUGGUGUAGCGGUGAAAUGCAUAGAUAUCACGCAGAACUCCGAUUGCGAAGGCAGCAUACCGGCGCGCAACUGACGCUCAUGCACGAAAGCGUGGGUAUCGAACAGGAUUAGAUACCC
RNAcentral lists this ribosomal RNA (460 nucleotides) under uncultured bacterium. RNAcentral describes it as "bacterial SSU rRNA". It matches the Rfam family "Bacterial small subunit ribosomal RNA", at positions 330 to 787 of the family's 1533-position model. The record is from RNAcentral.